RNAcentral lists this ribosomal RNA (492 nucleotides) under uncultured bacterium. RNAcentral's name for it is "partial 16S ribosomal RNA". It matches the Rfam family "Bacterial small subunit ribosomal RNA", at positions 30 to 507 of the family's 1533-position model. The record is from RNAcentral.
AGUGAACGCUGGCGGUAGGCCUAACACAUGCAAGUCGAACGGCAGCACAGUGAGAGCGUGCGCUUACGGGGGGGGGGUGGGGGACGGGAGAGGAAAACAACGGAAUCUAGUUUUUCGGGGAGGAUAACGAAAGGAAACUUAAGAUAGUAUAGGAUACGAUGUACGGGGGAGAGGAGGGGAAAGUCGGGGCGGGCGGGGAUGAACGAGCGGAUGUCGGAUUAGCUAGUGGGGGGGGUAAAGGCCCACCAAGGCGACGAUCCGUAGCUGGUCUGAGAGGAUGAUCAGCCACACUGGAACUGAGACACGGUCCAGACUCCUACGGGAGGCAGCAGUGGGGAAUAUUGGACAAAGGGCGCAAGCCUGAUCCAGCCAUACCGCGUGGGUGAAGAAGGCCUUCGGGUUGUAAAGCCCUUUUGUUGGGAAAGAAAAGCAGCAGGUUAAUACCCCGCUGUUCUGACGGUACCCAAAGAAUAAGCACCGGCUAACUUCGUG